GAUGAACGCUGGCGGCGUGCCUAAUACAUGCAAGUCGAGCGAACAGACGAGGAGCUUGCUCCUCUGACGUUAGCGGCGGACGGGUGAGUAACACGUGGAUAACCUACCUAUAAGACUGGGAUAACUUCGGGAAACCGGAGCUAAUACCGGAUAAUAUAUUGAACCGCAUGGUUCAAUAGUGAAAGACGGUUUUGCUGUCACUUAUAGAUGGAUCCGCGCCGCAAUAGCUAGUUGGUAAGGUAACGGCUUACCAAGGCAACGAUGCGUAGCCGACCUGAGAGGGUGACAGGCCACACUGGAACUGAGACACGGUCCAGACUCCUACGGGAGGCAGCAGUAGGGAAUCUUCCGCAAUGGGCGAAAGCCUGACGGAGCAACGCCGAGUGAGUGAUGAAGGUCUUCGGAUCGUAAAACUCUGUUAUUAGGGCAGAACAAAUGUGUAAGUAACUAUGCACGUCUUGACGGUACCUAAUCAGAAAGCCACGGCUAACUACGUG
RNAcentral lists this ribosomal RNA (497 nucleotides) under uncultured bacterium. RNAcentral describes it as "partial 16S ribosomal RNA". It matches the Rfam family "Bacterial small subunit ribosomal RNA", at positions 28 to 507 of the family's 1533-position model. The record is from RNAcentral.